GUGGAGACCCAAGGAAGACAGAACGUGGAGGUGGUGUCUGCCGGAUCCCUCUGGUCAGCCUUGAUGCGGAUGAGCGGGAGGUCUGCAUGGGGGCGGCCGCCGGGAGCUUGAUGGACCGGGUUGCUGAGCACGGGCGAACUGUUGGAGUGGGCGAGGCGUCUGCGGCACUGGCGGCGGAGGCCUGCAGUAGUAACGUGUUUGUUGGGUGGAAUGAUGCUACAGUGAUUGGGCAGCUCAGCGAUAGGACGGAGCUGGCUGUAGCAGAGGGUUUGGAGAUGGUAAGAAAUAAAAGAUCGGAGGGUGUAAUUGGUGAAAGGAAGGUGGAAGAUCUCCCUAAGCCAUGGGAGUUU
RNAcentral lists this long non-coding RNA (350 nucleotides) under Androctonus crassicauda. The record is from RNAcentral. Lineage: Eukaryota; Metazoa; Arthropoda; Arachnida; Scorpiones; Buthidae.